GACGAACGCUGGCGGCGUGCUUAACACAUGCAAGUCGAACGGUUGAGAGGUGGGAGUUGAGAGGUUAGAAGUGGGAAAAGAAAAAGUCUCACAUCCAACUUCUCACAUCUCACUUCUCAAUAGUGGCGGACGGGUGAGUAACGCGUGGGUAACCUGCCCUUAACACCGGGACAACAGCGGGAAACUGCUGCUAAUACCGGAUAAUCUCAAGAGAAGGCAUCUUCUUUUGAGGAAAGGUGGCCUCUGAAUAUGCUACCGAUUAAGGAUGGACCCGCGUCUGAUUAGCUAGUUGGUAGGGUAGUGGUCUACCAAGGCGACGAUCAGUAGCCGGCCUGAGAGGGUGACCGGCCAACACUGGGACUGAGACACGGCCCAGACUCCUACGGGAGGCAGCAGUGGGGAAUCUUCCGCAAUGGCGAAAGCCUGACGGAGCAACGCCGCGUGAAUGAAGAAGGCCUUCGGUCGUAAGUUCUGUUGAAAGGGAAGAAGUCUCUUAUGCGAAUAGU
Molecule: ribosomal RNA, 506 nt
Filed under: uncultured bacterium
Lineage: Bacteria
Description: bacterial SSU rRNA
Rfam family: Bacterial small subunit ribosomal RNA
Source: RNAcentral